RNAcentral lists this ribosomal RNA (492 nucleotides) under uncultured bacterium. RNAcentral's name for it is "partial 16S ribosomal RNA". It matches the Rfam family "Bacterial small subunit ribosomal RNA", at positions 29 to 507 of the family's 1533-position model. The record is from RNAcentral.
AGUGAACGCUGGCGGUAGGCCUAACACAUGCAAGUCGAACGGCAGCACAGUAAGAGCUUGCUCUUACGGGUGGCGAGUGGCGGACGGGUGAGGAAUACAUCGGAAUCUACUUUUUCGUGGGGGAUAACGUAGGGAAACUUACGCUAAUACCGCAUACGACCUACGGGUGAAAGCAGGGGAUCUUCGGACCUUGCGCGAUUGAAUGAGCCGAUGUCGGAUUAGCUAGUUGGCGGGGUAAAGGCCCACCAAGGCGACGAUCCGUAGCUGGUCUGAGAGGAUGAUCCGCCAAACUGGAACUGAGACACGGUCCAGACUCCUACGGGAGGCAGCAGUGGGGAAUAUUGGACAAUGGGCGCAAGCCUGAUCCAGCCAUACCGCGUGGGUGAAGAAGGCCUUCGGGUUGUAAAGCCCUUUUGUUGGGAAAGAAAAGCAGCAGGUUAAUACCCCGCUGUUCUGACGGUACCCAAAGAGUAAGCACCGGCUAACUUCGUG